GCAAUGUCCGCAGCCCUCCGGGGCAUUGGAGACAGGUGGUGCAUGGUUGUCGUCAGCUCGUGUCGUGAGAUGUUGGGUUAAGUCCCGCAACGAGCGCAACCCUUAUCCUUAGUAGCCAGCAGGUAAAGCCGGGCACUCUAGGGAGACUGCCGGGGACAACCCGGAGGAAGGCAGGGAUGACGUCAAAUCAUCAUGCCCCUUAUGGCCGGGGCUACACACGUGCUACAAUGGCGCAGACAGAGGGAGGCGACCCUGUGAAGGCAAGCAAAUCCCGGAAAGAGCGCCCCAGUUCGGAUUGUAGUCUGCAACCCGACUACAUGAAGCCGGAAUCGCUAGUAAUCGCGGAUCAGAAUGCCGCGGUGAAUACGUUCCCGGGUCUUGUACACACCGCCCGUCACACCAUGGGAGCCGGGAAUGCCCGAAGUCGGUGACCCAACCGUAAGGAGGGAGCCGCCGAAGGCAGGCCUGGUAACUGGGGUGAAGUCGUAACAAGGUAGCCGUAUCGGAAGGUGCGG
This 515-nucleotide ribosomal RNA is filed under the name uncultured bacterium. Its description in RNAcentral is "bacterial SSU rRNA". It matches the Rfam family "Bacterial small subunit ribosomal RNA", at positions 1003 to 1517 of the family's 1533-position model. The record is from RNAcentral.